UGCCUCCGGGUUUGCGGGGAGGGGGAAAUUCAAGAGGGGCUGUCCAGUGAAAGAGGUUGGGGGACCCCUCCCUGAGGCUUGUGGGGAACUAACCAGCCACUCUCUCCUCCUGGGGCUUUCAGCUCUAGCGGGAGAUAGGAGCUCACCUUUCCCGAGGAUCAGGCUACAUGCCAGGCAUUUUGCAAACGCGCUCAUUUGAUACUCACAGCUGCAUCAUGACAGCAUAAUUACUCUCCCAUUUUACAAAUGAGGAGACAAAGGUUCGGAGGGCGUCUUACCCAAGGCCACGUGUCUCUACCUCCUCUGGAAAACAGACGACCCCGUCACCCAAGGAAGGAGAUCCGCUCAAAUCUCGCUUCAGCGAAGGAUAGGGAGUGAAGAAAGGACUGGGGCUUGGAAGAGAAGGGCUGACCAGAAGACCUGGGAAAUGGAGGAGCCUGGCCCCAGCCCUCGUUCUCAACAUUUCCGUCCAGAAAGAGGGAGCAGAGACGGGCCCAAGGACUGCAUCUGGUUGUUUCUUUAAUUGAAUGCAAACUCAUUCAUAGAAAACAGAAAUGCAACCAUAGCAUGGAAACAGACAUUAAACGGAGCUCUGAAAAAAGAUCCAGACCCUCCGCCUCUCCCCAGCCCGAGGGAGAGCUAUAAAAACAAGCUGAGGAGAAUAAAACACAUUCCCAUCCCCAAGGCAGAAGCCUGACCUGAUCUCCCCAACCUUGGCAUCUGGAACGGACCAGGCAGGGCGAAAGAGCAGCCAGGGGAACCAGUUACGGCAACUCAGUGUAAACUCAAGGUUUCAUAUGUGUGCAUGUGUAUGUGUAACACAGAACUUGGCUGAAGACUGGACGGAAACUUAGAAGCCAGCCCUGUGUCCCAGAGUGAGGCUGGACCUGGGACACAGGGGGGAAGGGCAUGUCCCUUCCCUGAGCCCCUAAGAUAGGCACUGGGGCUCCUGUGGCCGUGGAGGAGCUGUGCUCUCUGUAAUGCCCCUCCUUCGCCUCUGGACAUUCUCGGGCAGUGUCAAAUGGCACUGAAAGGCCCACAAAUGGGGCUUGGCAGGACUAAGGGCCUAGAAAGAGAAAGAAAGGAAAGGAGUGAGUUGCUUUUCCCUUCCAAUCCUGGUUGCCAACAUCAGUCACUGGGUGCCAUCGUCAGCCUGGGGGCUGACGGCAUAUGAAAGACCUCUGAAUUCAGCUCUUCAAUCACAGGCGGUUCCCACGCUGCGGGCUUUGUCCCUCAUUGCUAAAGAACCAGCCCUGAGCGCAGGUCAGAGGGAGGCGGCAGUGCUGCCCAGGAUCCCUUGCAGGCCUUAGCACCAAAAGCCCAGCACCAGCCAGCCAGCCCCCAGAUCCGACAGCCACAUCCAUCCUGGCUGACCAGAGAGGGCAGUGAUGGCAGGCAGGCGCAGACCCAGGAGAAGUGGAGCGAACUCUGGUACAGGACAGAGAAUCAGGCCCCAGACCAGGGGGGCCCUGGAGUGGAAGCUCGGGCAAGAAGGGUAGGCUUUGGGUCCAGGCCAGGGGGGAAGGGGAAGGACGGCCAGACGCAAGCUGUGAAAUGGGCAGGCAAUGCUUCCCUCCUUCCUGCAGAACGACAAUCGGACAGCUGAUGGACAGGGACCCGUGGAAGGCCCCAACACUGAGAAUAAAGCAGCAGUUUGGCCAACAUUCGGGGCUGAAGGGGCACAGGCCUCAUCCCUGGCAGAGGGCAGGAGCAAGACUCAAGGUCACCCUGUGACUGUCCCAGGCCAAGCCUGGGCUGGACCUCGCUGUCCCAUCGCCCCUGGCACUGGGCGGCAGGGCUGGGACUCAGGCCCCUGGCACUAUGGAACCUCCGGGCGGUGAGGCAAAGGAGCUCGGAGCUCCAUGAGAGAAGCAAGGGGCCCAGCUCCCCUAGAAGACGUAGAUCUUGUCCCGUUGUACAGUGUCCAGGUCGUCAUCCAGCGUCAGCAACACCUGGGGGGGUGGACACCGAGUCACGGAGGGGACGGGAGGCCGCCUCUGCCCCCUCUUCAGUCCCCCCACCUACCAGGAACGAUCCAAACAUGGCGAUGGAGGAGAGAAAGUGCCAGAUGUCAUGGUCGUCAAAGAAGUCUAGGAGGAUGCAGUCCCGGUUGUGCUCCCGCGACUCUGCGGGGGUUUUCUGGAGAGGAACAAGGAGAGCUGUUUGCUGACACCACUGGGGCGAGGCAGGGCCAGACCUGCGCCCAUCCGCUGGAGGGCACCUCUGAUGCCAGCCCCAGCCUCAGGCCAGAAAGCACCCUCUUUCUGGCUCACCCCUUGCAUUAUCUCCCACAUCUAAGAAUUGGCCUUUAGAUGCAAACUUCUCCCUAAGGGCACUGGUCCUGAUUCCCUUGCAGAGCUAGCAGGUCACCAAAGGCUCCUAACUGGUUCCCUGCCUUAGACCUCGCCCCCUGCGCCAAUCAGUCCUCCAGGGCUUCUUCCAGCUCACUUCUUCUCCAAAACACUCCAGUCAGGUCAGACAAACCUGCCCGAGGACCACAGUAGCCAUCACCUGCACCUCAUGGUCCUCCAUGCUCUCCCCAAUCUCUCUCCAGCCAACACUGGCUGGACUGUGUCUAAGGGCAGUCUGUGCCACACACUGAGGCUGCAGAGAUGACCAAGAAAGACCUGGUCUGUCCUCAAGGAGCUCACCAUCUCCACGCACUCCCAAGAGAAUGCAUCAUUGACCCCAAAGCUGUCUCCGUCUCAUUACUCAAGUCAUGGUGCCUCCGGGCCACAGAGUCUAUACGGCCAAGAGCAAGGUCCACCUCCUCUAAGAAGUUUUCCUGGACCUCCUAACUCACAGAAGUCUUUCUGUUCUCUGCAUCCUGCACAUCCCCUCACUUGUCCUGUUACCCUUCAUCUUGUGCACCAUAUUGUAGAGAAAAGCCAGGAACUGACAGUCUCUCUGUCCCCGGAACUAGAUUUUAAGUGUUUCAAAGGGGACUUCCCUGGUGGUCUAGUAGUUAGGACUCUGCACGCUCAUUGCCUAGGACCUGGGUUCAAUCCCUGGUCAGGGAACUAAAAUCCCACAAGCUGUGCCGUGCAGCCAAAAAAAAUAAAAUUGCUUCAAAGGCAGAGACCCUGCCAGAUUUAGUUCUGAUCACAGCAGGUGCCCUAUGAGCAGAGGGAAGAACCUGACAUCUUGGCUUCAAACCCCAGCGGUGCCACUAUUGGCUGUGUGACCCUGGGCAGGUCACUUGUCUGUCUGAGCCCCGGCUGCUGCAUCAGUAAAAUGGGGAUACCUCCACACCAGCAUGGUCAAUGUCAGGAGGAUUAAACGUGAAAGUGGCUGUGAAAGGGCACGGGUGAUGCUCACAAACAGGUUUGAAGAGAGACCUGUUUGUGGGCUCAUGAUGAGCCUGUAGCAGAAGGACUACUCACCUGCCAGGUGCUGAGUCCCUGGAAGAAGAAGAAGAGGGCGAAGCCCCAGACCACCGAAGUGCAGACGAUGCAGAGCAGGGGGAUGAGCUUGAUCCUCUCCCCGCUCCGGAGCUGGGGGAACACAGGAGAGACCGACCUGAGGCCCCGCCCCACUGGGGGAGCAGUGGGGAGACCGGCCUGAGGCCCCGCCCCACUGGGGAGCAGGGGAAGACCGGCCUGAGGCCCCGCCCCACUGGGGAGCAGGGGGAAGACCGGCCUGAGGCCCCGCCCCACUGGGGAGCAGGGGGAAGACCGGCCUGAGGCCCCGCCCCACUGGGGAGCAGGGGGAAGACCGGCCUGAGGCCCCGCCCCACUGGGGAGCAGGGGGAAGACCGGCCUGAGGCCCCGCCCCACCGGGGGAGCAGGGGGAAGACCAGCCUGAGGCCCCGCCCCACUGGGGAGCAGGGGGAAGACCAGCCUGAGGCCCCGCCCCACCGGGGGAGCAGGGGAAAGAACAGCCUGAGGCCCCGCCCCACUGGGGGAGCAGAGGGGAGACCAGCCUGAGGUCCCGCCCCACUUCCCGCCUGCCCUUCAAGCCGCUUCCCAGACGGACGCUUUAGGAAGCCUUCUCAGAUCCAUCCCAUCACCCCAGAGCCUCACCUGUCCCCACACUGGCAGCCAGGUGUCCUCACCCUGAGGUCCACCCUGGCGGGGCCUCCAUGUGCCCUGUGCUGCUGGGGGGGUGCGCUGGGGGGCUCCUCUCACACUGGAUGACAUAAAGGCCUUGGGGAACCCCUGGCCCUCUGAGGCCCAAGCCCGCCCAGUCUCAGCGAGCCCCACCUCCUCAACCUUUUCUAUGCAGAACGGGACUCUUGCCAGCUGUGUCCUUAAGUGCUACCAGUUUCGUGGGACUGAGACUACAGAAGGGACUCAGGAAACAGUCUGAAGAUGUGGCGGGCUUCCAGGGAGUACGCGGAAGGGACUAGCCUCUCCCCUCCUCAAAACUCAGUGGAUGGAGAGGGACAGACGGAGAUGGACAGAAAGAUUCCCCCUCCCUCCCGGUGCUGCCCCAGGCAGGCUGUGUCCAUGUCCCUCCCUUCAAAGCAGAGCGCUGGCCUGGCUGGCCAAGGCGGCUCAGCCCUGCCGGCUCACCUUCAUGAUAAUGUAGAAGGCAAAGUAAAGAAGCAGGUUGCAGAUGCCAAUGGCCAACAAGUAGGAGGCAAAAUCAUUGGGACGCAUGAUGAGCCCAUAGGCCGCCCUGGCAGGAGGGAGGACCAGCUGGUGAAGCAGGGGACGGCCAAGAGCAAGGAAGGGGCUACCCCCCAACCCUCCGCCCCUACCCUGUGUUUUAUGAGGAUGUGGGGCAGGGUUCAGAGGCCCACAGAAGAUUCU
Long non-coding RNA from Cervus elaphus (red deer), 4754 nucleotides. RefSeq lists it as uncharacterized. The record is from RefSeq and is a predicted model, not a curated record. The transcript has 4 exons. Lineage: Eukaryota; Metazoa; Chordata; Mammalia; Artiodactyla; Cervidae.